This 332-nucleotide ribosomal RNA is filed under the name uncultured bacterium. RNAcentral describes it as "bacterial SSU rRNA". It matches the Rfam family "Bacterial small subunit ribosomal RNA", at positions 568 to 898 of the family's 1533-position model. The record is from RNAcentral.
AGUGUAGGCGGGAUCGUAAGUUAGGAGUUUAAUACAUGGGCUUAACCCAUGAGCUGCUUUUAAUACUGCGGUUCUUGAGUAUGGGAGAGGGCGAUGGAAUUCCAGGUGUAGCGGUGGAAUGCGUAGAUAUCUGGAAGAACACCAGUAGCGAAGGCGGUCGCCUGGCCCAAUACUGACGCUGAUGCUCGAAAGCUAGGGGAGCAAACAGGAUUAGAUACCCUGGUAGUCCUAGCCGUAAACGAUGGACACUAGUUGCUGGAGGAGUCAAUCCUCUCGGUGACGAAGCUAACGCAUUAAGUGUCCCGCCUGGGGAGUACGUUCGCAAGGAUGAA